This 220-nucleotide ribosomal RNA is filed under the name uncultured bacterium. RNAcentral describes it as "partial 16S ribosomal RNA". It matches the Rfam family "Bacterial small subunit ribosomal RNA", at positions 111 to 334 of the family's 1533-position model. The record is from RNAcentral.
UAAUGUAUGGGGAUCUGCCCGAUAGAGGGGAAUAACUACUGGAAACGGUGGCUAAUACCGCAUAAUGUCUACGGACCAAAGCAGGGGCUCUUCGGACCUUGCACUAUCGGAUGAACCCAUAUGGGAUUAGCUAGUAGGUGGGGUAAAGGCUCACCUAGGCGACGAUCUCUAGCUGGUCUGAGAGGAUGAUCAGCCACACAGGGACUGAGACACGGCCCAG